CCCGCCUCCAGGGGGCGGUGUGCGCCCCCGGCGCUGGAGCAGCCGCGUUUCGGGGACCCGGGCAGGCGUGGGGGGCUGCGCUGAGCUCCAGGCCUCCUGCAGGACGGAACAUGCUGCUGGUUUUUCCAUGUCUCGGUCUCCUUCUGCUGAGUAUUCUUCUAUUUCAAUCAUGGGUGUAGCAGCCCAUUUCAACAUACUGAAAACACUCACCCUAGCAAUUCUGUGCAUAUCCUCUAGGGCUUUCAAGUCCCUGCUGUGGACAAUCUGCAUGUGACAGCUGAGACAGGAGGAAGAGGCCCAAGGGAACGCAUUCCUGCUAGGACAGAGCUGGCUGGCUGCACAGUGGAGAGUGUUUGCUGGAAGCUGCUACCAGCCAUGGGGCACCUACCCGCCCAGCGGCCCUUGCAUCCAGAUGCAGAGCCCUGGACAAAGGACGGAGCUGUGAAAACAGUGCCUGGAGGAUCUGAUCCCUUCUAGCAAGGCCAAGAGACACGGCUGGGCUGGGGAGGACGGGGUCUCCAGGCCUCACCAUGGCCACUUAUCUAGACGCCAGCAUCAAAAGGUUCAAAGCCCAGGUCACAGGCUCAUGAAAAAAUUAAGCAGGUAUCAAAAAAUAUCACAAAGGCAACAGUUUUAUGACAUGAAAACAUCUAUCAGAGACAAUAUAAACCUGUCUGCUAAUAGAACCAGGUAAAACUGUCUAAAUUAAAUUCCGAAGAAAUUUCAAUUUUAUUUUACUAAUGAUUUUAAAAACUAGCUUUAUUUACCCAACAUGACUAAAGUCCCAUUGACCUGAAAAGCAUUUGGGCUUAUUUACUUAAUUUAUGAGUACUCCUUUAUUUAUAAGUCUAUUCAGUACCAUGUAGACAAUGUUCAAACACAGACAUAUGCACGCAUACAUAAAAAUACAAAUGAACACAAAAAAAUAAAGACUACAUGCUUUUAUUUUUAAAAUUUUAGCCAUGAGACUGGUAAAAUUCACUAGUUUAAAAGGACAGUUGUAUUAAAUUGUGUCUCUGUAAAUGGAACAAUUUAAAAUGUAUCUGUCCUACAUGGUUGAAGUCCUUACCUUACAGAGUUUUAGAGAAAGCAGGGUAGCAAAUUUACAUCUCAAAGCACAGAGAGAAUUUUAGCUUUCUCAAGGAGGAGUUUGAGUGUGUUAGAGCAAGAUUAAAAAUGGAUUUCAAGGUAACAAAAAGUUAUAGAAAUCCACCACAGGAUGUUUUUCAUUUUGUUUUUGGAGGCAGGGUCUCACUCUGUCGCUGAGGCUGGAGCGCAAUGGCGCAAUCAUGGCUCACUGAAGUCUCGACCUGGGUUCAAGCAAUCCCUUUGCCUGAACCUCCUGAGUAGCUGCUACUAUAGGCACACGUCAUCAACCUGGCUAAUUUAAAAAUAUAUAUAUAUUUAUAUAUAAAAUAUAAAAUAUAUUCUAAUAUAUUUAUAAUAUUUUAUAUAUUUAUAAU
This 1463-nucleotide long non-coding RNA is filed under the name Homo sapiens (human). Its description in RNAcentral is "HSALNT0099555". The record is from RNAcentral. Lineage: Eukaryota; Metazoa; Chordata; Mammalia; Primates; Hominidae.